AUGAAAAUGGACUCCGCCGACGAGUUCUUUUUCCACAAUUUCCUUUGCGACUCCGACGAUUCGUCGUCCGACGACGAGGAGGGGAUAUUGGCUGCCGUGUUGGUCCAUCACCACCUCAACAACCAGCGGCCGUUGUUCUGUGGCUCCAUUCCGGGCCACCUUCCGGCGUUGAAUCGUAACCGAGAGAGCGGGCAUUUCCUUCUCUGGAAGGACUACUUUGAUACAACAAACCCGUUGUUCAAACAUCACAAAUUCCGCCGCCGGUUCCGUAUGAGUAGGCAUGUUUUCAACCGUAUUAGAGAGGGAAUGGUCGGCUAUGAUGACUACUUCGAGUGCAAAGAGGAUGCCGUCGACAAGAUUGGGGUCUCCUUUUAUCAGAAAUGCACUGCCGCCAUCCGAAUGCUUGAAUACGGAGUGCCCGGUGAUCUCAUUGACGAGUACGUCCGUAUGAGCGAGUCUACAUGCCUAGAGUCCCUGUAUAAUUUCUGCAAGGUUGUGAUUAUUGUGUUUGGCCCUGAGUACUUGAGAGAGCCGACAGCUGCAGAUACAACCCGUUUGCUGGCGAUGAAUGCUAGCAGGGGCUUCCCGGGGAUGCUUGGCAGUAUAGACUGCAUGCACUGGGAGUGGAAGAACUGCCCUUCUGCUUGGCAAGGGCAGUAUAAGGGACAUGUCAGGGCUUGCACUAUCAUACUAGAGCCAAUGGCGUCUCAAGAUCUCUGGAUCUGGCACUUUUUCUUUGGCAUGGCUGGAUCACACAAUGAUAUCAACGUGCUUCAGCGCUCGCCGGUAUUUGCUAGGCUUGCCGAAGGCAACAGCCCACCGGUGAACUUUACUGUCAACGGCCACAACUACGACAAAUGGUACUAUUUGGGUAGCGCUAUCUAUCCUCAGUGGACCACUAUUGUAAAGACAAUACCCAACCCUGUUGGGGAGAAAAGGAAAAGAUUUGCCCAAGAGCAAAGGGAGUGCUAG
RNAcentral lists this ribosomal RNA (972 nucleotides) under Triticum aestivum (bread wheat). RNAcentral describes it as "partial small subunit ribosomal RNA". The record is from RNAcentral. Lineage: Eukaryota; Viridiplantae; Streptophyta; Magnoliopsida; Poales; Poaceae.